CAGUCGCCGCGGUAUACGGAGGGUGCAAGCGUUAAUCGGAAUUACUGGGCGUAAAGCGCACGCAGGCGGUCUGACAAGUCAGAUGUGAAAUCCCCGGGCUUAACCUGGGAACUGCAUUUGAAACUGUCAGGCUGGAGUCUUGUAGAGGGGGGUGGAAUUCCAGGUGUAGCGGUGAAAUGCGUAGAGAUCUGGAGGAAUACCGGUGGCGAAGGCGGCCCCCUGGACAAAGACUGACGCUCAGGUGCGAAAGCGUGGGGAGCAAACAGGAUUAGAUACCCGGGUAGUCCCUGUCUCUUAUACA
Molecule: ribosomal RNA, 301 nt
Filed under: uncultured bacterium
Lineage: Bacteria
Description: partial 16S ribosomal RNA
Rfam family: Bacterial small subunit ribosomal RNA
Source: RNAcentral